RNAcentral lists this non-coding RNA (22 nucleotides) under Arabidopsis thaliana (thale cress). The record is from RNAcentral. Lineage: Eukaryota; Viridiplantae; Streptophyta; Magnoliopsida; Brassicales; Brassicaceae. RNAcentral also lists the same sequence under 2 other names.
CAAUAACAGGUCUGUGAUGCCC